Molecule: non-coding RNA, 70 nt
Organism: Araneus ventricosus
Lineage: Eukaryota; Metazoa; Arthropoda; Arachnida; Araneae; Araneidae
Source: the annotation of a GenBank genome assembly
UGGAAUCAGGUUUCGAACCUGCAACUCUCCGGUCCAAAAGUUGACACCUUACCAUUAGGCCAUUAUUACC